This 71-nucleotide transfer RNA is filed under the name Stegodyphus mimosarum. It matches the Rfam family "tRNA". From Rfam's summary of the family: Transfer RNA (tRNA) molecules are approximately 80 nucleotides in length. The record is from Rfam by way of RNAcentral. Lineage: Eukaryota; Metazoa; Arthropoda; Arachnida; Araneae; Eresidae.
GCUUUCAUGGUGCAUCGGAAGCACAUUCGACUCGUAUUCAAGAGGUCCAUGUUCAAAUCCUGGUGAAGGUA